CGAAUCCAGAAAAUAAUGUCCCAGUUCAGAUUGCAGGCUGCAACUCGCCUGCAUGAAGUCGGAAUUGCUAGUAAUCGCAGAUCAGCAUGCUGUGGUGAAUACGUUCCCGGGCCUUGUACACACCGCCCGUCACACCAUGAGAGUUGGGAAUACCCGAAGCCUGUGAGCUAACUGUAAGGAGGCAGCAGUCGAAGGUAGAAUCAAUGAUUGGGGUGAAGUCGUAACAAGGUACC
Molecule: ribosomal RNA, 233 nt
Filed under: uncultured bacterium
Lineage: Bacteria
Description: partial 16S ribosomal RNA
Rfam family: Bacterial small subunit ribosomal RNA
Source: RNAcentral